RNAcentral lists this long non-coding RNA (1534 nucleotides) under Triticum aestivum (bread wheat). RNAcentral's name for it is "long non-coding RNA (TAES_LNC026186)". The record is from RNAcentral. Lineage: Eukaryota; Viridiplantae; Streptophyta; Magnoliopsida; Poales; Poaceae.
UCCAACUUAUAAUAACAAGCACAAAAGAUCGCAUUGUACAACAAAGUAUUUUUUUUUCAAAUACCUCAAACCUUGUAAUUUACUCUAUACAAAUAUAACUAUCUUUUUCUACACAUGAUGCAUUACGCACUGCAAACUAUUCAAGCUAUUCUUGCCUCAAUAAUGACAAACCCAGUGCUAAGCUUCCACACCAGGACCUCUCGAGACAAAUGGGGAGUAUUUCACCCACUCGAAUACAUUCAUAAAAAAAGUAUCAAUUUGCUCGCUCAAAAAAAACUAAAUUUGUUCGCAAAAGGCAUCCCUAAACACUUGGAUACAUGCAGUGCGGAAACAAUCCCCUCGCCCAGCAUCUCGGACAAACUCCCAUCAAGAUGAACACAUACCUGCACAGUUCCUGAUUUGUUACUCCAUGAAACAUACAAUUAUUUUCUUUCUAGAAUACACUUAAUAUUUAAAAAAAUAGGUAAACAUGUUUUAGCAAAUUCUCCCAUCCAUUUUAACAGCUUCUUUGAUGUUCCUUUCUUGCUCUGCAAUAAAUGAAGUACAGGUCCCGACGCCGCUUAAUCAUGCAGAGCUCAUAAUUUAGAAACUUUCCAGCCCAUUCGGUAACACCAUACAUGAUUAUCUCACAUUGCACAGCCUACAGAUGAUGAAACACGUUAAAGAUCGUCAGCUACAAUGGUUAAAGAUUGUACGCACAUAUAUAAAUUGAUAAUUAGGUUUUGAUAAAAAUCAAAACAGAGUACCAUAUCCUGUUGAGACCGUGAUGGCACAUACUGAAGUUCAUAGAUAUCUAAAAUUGCUAGGUUAUGAAUUAUCCUUUUGGAACGUUGCACACGUGCAAGUGCACAGUCAAACUAUGGGCCAGUUCUUUUGGGCGAUUCUACCAGAAUCGCCCCCCUCCGUAGCUUCUCCCAGAAUUAUCACUCCUUAUGUUUUUCACAAUCCUAGCUAAUUAGACCUUAACUAGAUAGGAUUGUAAAAAAAUAUGAAGUGGCGAUUCUUGAAGAAGCUGGGGAGGGGGGCGAUUCUGGGAGAAUCGCCGAAAAGAACUGGCCUAUAUGCAUCAACAUAUGACUCAAUUAUUCAUGACAUAUAGGACUGCCACGAGGAUCAAAUAGAUAACAAUUAUGAGCAAAUGGUGUUGUGUGACAUCUCCCAACUCGAUUAAUCAAAUUUUUUUGUUACUGAAUUAUCCAUAUGUGAAAAUUUCAAUGUAGAACUAAGUUAUUUUUGUAUAGAGAACUUCUUCCUUGGUUCGCAAAGAGGUUCAGCAGCCAUCCUAAAUGAGCAAUGAAACAUACCUUGAAUUACUUGAGCAAAGAAGAUGUGGAUUAGUGGUAAAGCUUCGCAAGCUGUUGCACUCGCCCAAACAAAUCAGAAACCAAAUCAGUUCUAAUUAAUCCGCUAAAAAAUAUAAGAAAAUAAAAUUCAAGAUUUACCAUCAAAUAGCUUGAAAUGUGAACAUGUGUGAAUCAAGAGAGGCCCAUUGUUUAAUCCAUUGCAAAUAUAUCGAGAACCUGCAAAGGUGGGA